UCCCUGCCAUUGGACAUUGGGAAGAUGUUGAUGAUUUUAACUGACACCCUGGCUAAACCAUUUCAGGACAACCAUGGUUAGGUCUCUUUGUUGCUCUUUUCACAGGUGCCCACUUUGCUUGUGGGAUUUAGGAGGAAAUGCCACACACUGUCAUAGAAAAAAUGGCGUCUCACUCUAUUGCCCAGGCUAGAGUACAAUAGUGCAAUCUUGGCUCACUGCAACCUCCCCCUCCCAGGUUCAAGCCAUUCUCCUGCCUCAGCCUCCCGAGUAGCUAGAACUACAAGCACGUGCACUGUACCCAGCUAAUUUUUUGUAUUUUUAGCAGAGACGGGGUUUCUCCAUGUUGGCCAGGCUGGUCUCGAACUCCUGACCUCAGGUAAUCCACCGCCUCAUCCUCCCAAAAUGCAUUAUCUCUUCCCAAAAUGCAUUAUCUAUUUCAUUAAGAAAAAGGAGAAAGCAACCAUGCUAAGCUUCAAAUAAAAGCAUGUGAGCACACCUGAUGACGCUAGACCCACUGGAAUCUCGCAUAACUCAUCCUGAACGUGUUGGGAAUCAAGUCUCUCAGGAUUAGCCCUGGUAAUCUGAAAGUCACCAGUCAUCAAGAAGUGGCAUCUCUACCAUGUGGUGCAAUCAUAGCCCUGAACUCAAAUUUCUGUCUGAUAUAUUUGAUGUGAUCCCUCCUUUUAUACCCUUUUAACUUCUGCUUGGAGAGACCCACUGACCUUGUAGCUGACUGUCAGAACUUUUCCUUGCCAGGCCAGCAAUAAAUUUGGCAUUGUUUUGGACAUU
This is a long non-coding RNA of Homo sapiens (human), 789 nucleotides long. Ensembl annotates it as long intergenic non-protein coding RNA 2388. The record is from Ensembl. Lineage: Eukaryota; Metazoa; Chordata; Mammalia; Primates; Hominidae.